GACGAACGCUGGCGGCGUGCCUAAUACAUGCAAGUAGAACGCUGAAGGAGGAGCUUGCUUCUCUGGAUGAGUUGCGAACGGGUGAGUAACGCGUAGGUAACCUGCCUGGUAGCGGGGGAUAACUAUUGGAAACGAUAGCUAAUACCGCAUAAGAGUAGAUGUUGCAUGACAUUUGCUUAAAAGGUGCAAUUGCAUCACUACCAGAUGGACCUGCGUUGUAUUAGCUAGUUGGUGGGGUAACGGCUCACCAAGGCGACGAUACAUAGCCGGCCUGAGAGGGGGGUCGGCCACACUGGGACUGAGACCCGGCCCAGACCUCUUCGGGGAGCAGCAAUAGGGAAUCUUCGGCAAUAGACGGAAGGCUGACCGCGCAACGCCGCGGGAGGGAAGAAGGGUUUCGGGUCGGAAAGGUCGGUUGUAAGGGAAGAACGAGUGUGAGAGUGGAAAGUUCACGCUGUGACGGUACCUGACCAGAAAGCGACGGCUAACUACGUG
Molecule: ribosomal RNA, 495 nt
Filed under: uncultured bacterium
Lineage: Bacteria
Description: partial 16S ribosomal RNA
Rfam family: Bacterial small subunit ribosomal RNA
Source: RNAcentral